GAAUCUUGGACAAUGGGCGCAAGCCUGAUCCAGCCAUGCCGCGUGGGUGAUGAAGGCCCUAGGGUUGUAAAGCCCUUUCGGCGGGGAAGAUAAUGACGGUACCCGCAGAAGAAGCCCCGGCUAACUUCGUGCCGGCACCCGCGGUAAUACGAAGGGGGCUAGCGUUGCUCGGAAUCACUGGGCGUAAAGCGCACGUAGGCGGCUUUUUAAGUCAGGGGUGAAAUCCCGGAGCUCAACUCCGGAACUGCCUUUGAUACUGAGGAGCUUGAGUCCGGGAGAGGUGAGUGGAACUGCGAGUGUAGAGGUGAAAUUCGUAGAUAUUCGCAAGAACACCAGUGGCGAAGGCGGCUCACUGGCCCGGUACUGACGCUGAGGUGCGAAAGCGUGGGGAGCAAACAGG
RNAcentral lists this ribosomal RNA (400 nucleotides) under uncultured bacterium. Its description in RNAcentral is "bacterial SSU rRNA". It matches the Rfam family "Bacterial small subunit ribosomal RNA", at positions 359 to 776 of the family's 1533-position model. The record is from RNAcentral.